Molecule: long non-coding RNA, 269 nt
Filed under: Helianthus annuus (common sunflower)
Lineage: Eukaryota; Viridiplantae; Streptophyta; Magnoliopsida; Asterales; Asteraceae
Description: sRNA HanXRQr2_Chr09g0398481
Source: RNAcentral
UGAUAUCUCAAAACCUCUUUCCUCUUAAUAUAUAUUUAAAAGGUCUCACUCCAUAAAUCAUUUCUCAGCCACUAGUUGUUAUUUAUUUUUCGUCUGGGAUAUUUUUGGCUUGGACUCAUCAUUCUAGUCUACUAAUUUCACUCUAAACUAAGGUAUGUAUGUCAGAUUUCGUGACCGUCUACACGUAUUCGGUUAUCUCAGUUUUGUGAUCAUCGCUUAAGGUUAUCAAGACAAUCUGGGACGGGAUAUAGAACAGUGCUCGAGUAUAU